CAAGAGCGUAUAUUAAAGUUGUUGCAGUUAAAAGCUCGUAGUUGGAUUUCUGGUAUAAUGCGCCUGGCCCGCGGCGGUUACGUCUGUGAGUGCCGGUGCGCGUUUACCAUCCUUCUAGAAAACGUUUCUACCCUUUACUGGGCCGGACUCGCGAUCUAGAUCUUUUACUUUGAAAAAUUAGAGUGUUUAAAGCAGGCUUUUGCUAUGAAUACAUUAGCAUGGAAUAAUAAUCUAGGACUUCGGUUCUAUUUUGUUGGUUUCUAUAACUGAAGUAAUGAUUGAUAGGGAUAGUUGGGGGUGCUAGUAUUGGCCGGCCAGAGGUGAAAUUCUUGGAUUCGGUCAAGACUAACUUAUGCGAAAAGCAUUCACCAAGGAUGUCUUCUUUAAUCGAGAACGAAAGUUGGGGGAUCGAAGAUGAUUAGAU
RNAcentral lists this ribosomal RNA (424 nucleotides) under uncultured eukaryote. RNAcentral's name for it is "SSU rRNA". It matches the Rfam family "Eukaryotic small subunit ribosomal RNA", at positions 592 to 1013 of the family's 1831-position model. The record is from RNAcentral.